CCAAUAGCGUAUAUUAAAGUUGUUGCAGUUAAAAAGCUCGUAGUUGAAUUUCGGGGUCAGUAGGUUGGUCGUGCCACUGGUAUGUACUGGUCUCACUGAUUCCUCCUUCCUGAUGAGCUGUAAUGCCAUUAAUUUGGUGUUGCAGGGAAUCUGGACUGUUACUUUGAAAAAAUUAGAGUGUUUAAAGCAGGCUAACGCUUGAAUACAUUAGCAUGGAAUAAUGAAAUAGGACGUUCGAUCCUAUUUUGUUGGUUUCUAGGAUUGACGUAAUGAUUAAUAGGGAUAGUUGGGGGCAUUAGUAUUCAAUUGUCAGAGGUGAAAUUCUUGGAUUUAUUGAAGACUAACUACUGCGAAAGCAUUUGCCAAGGAUGUUUUCAUUAAUCAAGAACGAAAGUUAGGGGAUCGAAGACGAUCAGAUACCGUCGUAGUCUUAACCAUAAACUAUGCCGACUAGGGAUCGGAUGAUGUUAAUUUUUUAAUGACUCAUUCGGCGCCUUACG
Molecule: ribosomal RNA, 500 nt
Filed under: uncultured Glomeromycotina
Lineage: Eukaryota; Fungi; Glomeromycota
Description: SSU rRNA
Rfam family: Eukaryotic small subunit ribosomal RNA
Source: RNAcentral